This 397-nucleotide ribosomal RNA is filed under the name uncultured bacterium. RNAcentral's name for it is "partial 16S ribosomal RNA". It matches the Rfam family "Bacterial small subunit ribosomal RNA", at positions 523 to 918 of the family's 1533-position model. The record is from RNAcentral.
CUACGUAGGGGGCGAGCGUUGUCCGGAAUGAUUGGGCGUAAAGGGCGCGUAGGCGGCGCGGUAAGUCUGGAGUGAAAGUCCUGCUUUCAAGGUGGGAAUUGCUUUGGAUACUGCCGCGCUUGAGUGCAGGAGAGGGUAUCGGAAUUCCCGGUGUAGCGGUGAAGUGCGUAGAGAUCGGGAGGAACACCAGUGGCGAAGGCGGGUAACUGGACUGCAACUGACGCUGAGGCGCGAAAGUGUGGGGAGCAAACAGGAUUAGAUACCCUGGUAGUCCACACUGUAAACGAUGAAUGCUAGGUGUAAGAGGUAUCGACCCCUUUUGUGCCGGAGUCAACACAAUAAGCAUUCCGCCUGGGGAGUACGGCCGCAAGGUUGAAACUCAAAUGAAUUGACGGGG